GGUAGCAUAAUCAUUAGUCUUUUAAUUGGAGGCUCGUAUGAAUGGUUGGACGAAAAAUAAUCUGUCUCUUAGUUGAAAUUUGAAUUUAACAUUUAAGUGAAAAGGCUUAAAUACAGUAAAAAGACGAUAAGACCCUAUAAAUCUUCACACUACUUAAAAAUUUAGAGCUAAUUAUAAGUAAAAUGUUAUUAAAUGUUUAUAGUGUUUUGUUGGGGCAACAUGGAUAAANAUUUAUCUGUCUAAAAAAAUUACAGAAAAUUUNUGAGUAAAGAAACNCAAGAUCCUUUCUAGAGAUUNCAAGAUUAAGUUACUUUAGGGAUAACAGCGUUAUUUUACUUGAGAGUUCAUAUCGAAAGUAAAGUUUGCGACCUCGAUGUNGAAUUAAAAUUUCUCUAUGGUGCAGCAGCUAU
RNAcentral lists this ribosomal RNA (410 nucleotides) under Areopaguristes sp. USNM 1544503. RNAcentral's name for it is "partial large subunit ribosomal RNA". It matches the Rfam family "Bacterial large subunit ribosomal RNA", at positions 1955 to 2565 of the family's 2925-position model. The record is from RNAcentral. Lineage: Eukaryota; Metazoa; Arthropoda; Malacostraca; Decapoda; Diogenidae.